RNAcentral lists this ribosomal RNA (253 nucleotides) under uncultured bacterium. Its description in RNAcentral is "partial 16S ribosomal RNA". It matches the Rfam family "Bacterial small subunit ribosomal RNA", at positions 524 to 776 of the family's 1533-position model. The record is from RNAcentral.
UACGGGGGGGGCAAGCGUUGUUCGGAAUUACUGGGCGUAAAGGGCUCGUAGGUGGCCAACUAAGUCAGACGUGAAAUCCCUCAGCUUAACUGGGGAACUGCGUCUGAUACUGGAUGGCUUGAGUUUGGGAGAGGGAUGCGGAAUUCCAGGUGUAGCGGUGAAAUGCGUAGAUAUCUGGAGGAACACCGGUGGCGAAGGCGGCAUCCUGGACCAACACUGACACUGAGGAGCGAAAGCCAGGGGAGCUAACGGG